CGUACACUCCUACGGGAGGCAGCAGUGGGGAAUAUUGGACAAUGGGCGCAAGCCUGAUCCAGCCAUGCCGCGUGAGUGAUGAAGGCCCUAGGGUUGUAAAGCUCUUUCACCGGUGAAGAUAAUGACGGUAACCGGAGAAGAAGCCCCGGCUAACUUCGUGCCAGCAGCCGCGGUAAUACGAAGGGGGCUAGCGUUGUUCGGAUUUACUGGGCGUAAAGCGCACGUAGGCGGACUAUUAAGUCAGGGGUGAAAUCCCGGGGCUCAACCCCGGAACUGCCUUUGAUACUGGUAGUCUUGAGUUCGAGAGAGGUGAGUGGAAUUCCGAGUGUAGAGGUGAAAUUCGUAGAUAUUCGGAGGAACACCAGUGGCGAAGGCGGCUCACUAGCUCGAUACUGACGCUGAGGUGCGAAAGCGUGGGGAGCAAACAGGAUUAGAUACCCCGGUAGUCCCAUG
RNAcentral lists this ribosomal RNA (453 nucleotides) under uncultured organism. Its description in RNAcentral is "partial 16S ribosomal RNA". It matches the Rfam family "Bacterial small subunit ribosomal RNA", at positions 330 to 799 of the family's 1533-position model. The record is from RNAcentral.